This 479-nucleotide ribosomal RNA is filed under the name Acinetobacter baumannii. Its description in RNAcentral is "bacterial SSU rRNA". It matches the Rfam family "Bacterial small subunit ribosomal RNA", at positions 8 to 482 of the family's 1533-position model. The record is from RNAcentral. Lineage: Bacteria; Pseudomonadati; Pseudomonadota; Gammaproteobacteria; Moraxellales; Moraxellaceae.
AGAGUUUGAUCCUGGCUCAGAUUGAACGCUGGCGGCAGGCCUAACACAUGCAAGUCGAGCGGAUGAAGGGAGCUUGCUCCUGGAUUCAGCGGCGGACGGGUGAGUAAUGCCUAGGAAUCUGCCUGGUAGUGGGGGAUAACGUCCGGAAACGGGCGCUAAUACCGCAUACGUCCUGAGGGAGAAAGUGGGGGAUCUUCGGACCUCACGCUAUCAGAUGAGCCUAGGUCGGAUUAGCUAGUUGGUGGGGUAAAGGCCUACCAAGGCGACGAUCCGUAACUGGUCUGAGAGGAUGAUCAGUCACACUGGAACUGAGACACGGUCCAGACUCCUACGGGAGGCAGCAGUGGGGAAUAUUGGACAAUGGGCGAAAGCCUGAUCCAGCCAUGCCGCGUGUGUGAAGAAGGUCUUCGGAUUGUAAAGCACUUUAAGUUGGGAGGAAGGGCAGUAAGUUAAUACCUUGCUGUUUUGACGUUACCAAU